UGCUAGGUUGAUUGGGACACCUGAAGCCAAUCAGGGGCUUGCUGAAACUAGUUAAAAGCCUCCCAGUUAGUCAGGUGGGUGUGCAUGGCAGGAGCUGUGAGAGGAAGCUGUGCUGGUGGAGAGACUAAGCUGUACACACUAUAUUAGGCACAAGGAAGGAGGCCCUGAAGUAAGAGUGAAGUGGAGCUUGAGGAAGUAGCCCAGGGAAUUGUACGUGUCCUGUUCCUAAAAGGUCAGCUACCAUAGCUGAUGCUAUUAAGGUCCCUGAGCUGGAGCAGAGGGCGGGCCUGGGCUCCCUCCCUUUGUUAAUCACUGAGACUGGGAGACGACAGAGGAUGUAAAUUGAUUGCUCAUCUAACAAAUUAGAUAAGAUGAAAGCCUGUUUCACCUUAAAUUGAGACUAAAUAUGCAGGUUGGCAGAGACUGCAAGGGAGGAUAGCUUCUCAUCUCCCUCACUGGCUUAUGAUGAAAAUGGCUCAGACUGUGACCCUUGUCUCUAGAGAGCCUCUGAGGCUAGCAAAAUCUGCCAGGAAACAUGAGACCCACGGAGACAAGGACAGAGCUUUGUCACAGUGGACAUUUCACCCUGGGAUGAGUCUGGGUAGCAGAGCUUGCACCCCUAGAAAAGCGAGAGAAGUCCCUUUCUAAUAAUUGUCUAACAGCUUACAUUUAAGGGUUGUUAGGAGACAGUGCCAGAGACAUACACACCCAAGGAUGUAAAUUGAUUGCUCAUCUAACAAAUUAGAUAAGAUGAAAGCCUGUUUCACCCUAAAUUGAGACUAAAUAUGCAGGUUGGCUGUUUAGAGAAAAAAUAUUUUAAAACAAGUUUUUGUUCUUCCAACUGCUAAAUAAUACUUUGACCAACAUCCUUCUUAAUGUCUCAUAGCUCCUCCCUUCAGGAACCUAAGUACCUAAAACCCAGUCAGACCUGCAGAGCAAAAAGUGGUACUGGAAUGGCAAUGGACAAUAUUACCUGGAGACAACAUAUACCAGGAGAAUAGGAGAGGGCCAGUGAAAACUCUAAGGCAUGUUGACAGAGGAAGAAAUUCUAAAGGAACUGUCAGAAAGAAUCAACUAUGGUAAAGGUGUCCUAACCAAUACUGCUGGACAGGCUAUUUAACAAGAUAAACAGGCCUGAGGAAGUAAAAUCAACCUGAAAACAAAACAAUCACUACUGUAAAAGAUAAAAUAAAUUUUAUUUUCUUUAGCUUUCUUCAGAGGAACUGUCACAAAAUACUUUACAGCGUUGGAUAUGGUUCUUCUAACACAGGGAUAAAGGACAAGAGG
Molecule: long non-coding RNA, 1287 nt
Organism: Mauremys reevesii (Reeves's turtle)
Lineage: Eukaryota; Metazoa; Chordata; Testudines; Geoemydidae
Exons: 3
Source: RefSeq, a predicted model, not a curated record